Molecule: small RNA, 2476 nt
Filed under: Pan troglodytes (chimpanzee)
Lineage: Eukaryota; Metazoa; Chordata; Mammalia; Primates; Hominidae
Description: retained intron
Source: RNAcentral
GUAACCUUUUGUGGUACCGUCUUUGUUUUUUUGUUUUAUUUGACCCCUUCCACCUCUCUUCUGUUUUUUCUUCUCCUCUUCUUCCCCUGCUGUUCCUUGACCUUGACAGAUUCCAGCUUCUUGUUUGGGUGAAUUUUCCACAGUAAGUUUUGCAUAUUCAUUUGGAAAAUUCUUCUCUAAUCAUUGUCUACAUUUAGCAACAUCAGGCAUAUAUUCACAGUACUCUAUUGGUAAUGAACAGACUCCACAAUAAAGGACUCAAAGUAGGUAAUCAGCAUCUAACUUGGCUCUGUUCCUUGGGUCUCCUUUGCAGUCAGCCCUAUUGGAAUCGGAAACGUCAGCAGCCAUUUCACAAACCCAGGCAGUUGCACAGGCCCCGCCAGCUCUGCUCCCGCCACUGUUGCCAGCUGAGCCGACAAAUGCAACUCGUUUCCCCGGCCAGGGCCUCCCUAGAGCAUCAGUUGUAUUUUUAUACCUAGGAAAUAUUUUUCCUUUUUGUAAGAAUGAUAAUACAGAUGAACUGUUAUUCAACCUGGCACCACCAUCUGUACUCAAAAAGUCAUUAUUUCCUUACAUUUUAUAGUUUUUUUGUUUAAGAGACAGGGACUUGCUGUGUUGCCCAGGCUGGAGUACACUGGCAUGAUCUUGGCUCACUGCAGCUCAUUCCUGGGCCCAAGCUAUUCUCCCACCUCAGCCUCCCAAGUUGCUAGGACUAUCUGAAGCUACUAUGCCCAGCUUAAUCUACUUUUUUUUGUAGAGGCAGAGUCUUCUUGCCUAGGCUGGUCUUAGACUCCUGGCUUCAAGCAAUCUUCGCACCUCAGCCUCCCAAACUGUUGGGAUUAUGGGCUUGAACCACUGAGCCACUGUGCCCAGACUAUUUUUAUAGUUUUUUUGAGUCUCUGUUGCCCAGGCUGGAGUGCAGUCUCGGCUCAUUGCAACCUCCACCUCCUGGGUUCAAGCAAUUCUUCUGCCUCCUUCUCCCAGUAACUGGAUAACAGGCGUGCGCCACCAUGCCUGACUAAUUUUUUGUACUUUUAGUAAAGAUGGGGUUUCGCCAUGUUGGCCAGGCUGGUCUCCAACUCCUGACCUUAAAUGAUCCACCUCACUUCCCAAAGUGCUGGGAUUACAAGCGUGAGCCACUGCGCCUGGCUUACAGUUUUUAGUUUGUAGAUUCAUUAUAUUCUUUUUUUUUUUAACUUCAUGGUAGGCUGAGGAUUGUUGCCAUUUUCAAGUGAAGACAUGGAGGCUUCUAAGUGACUUGCCCACAAUGAAUAAUGGCAGAGCUGUGACACACAUUCAGUGCUGUGUUAAGUGUUCCACCUCUCUAGCAUUGCUAUUUUAUGUUGUUUGGUAAAGAGAAUAUAAUGUUUUGAUUAAGAACACCAUGGGGUGAGGCAAUGGACCAAAUUAGUAUUUCUGUUGCUUUUCUUGUUUAUUAUGCUUAAGUCUUCAUUUUUAAUUAGUUUUUACAUUUUUUUUUUUACUAAAAUGGUUUUUCCUACACAUCUUGGUCACCUUAGUGGUUCUCUUUGGAGGAGUGUGGUAGCAGUAAUUUUGAUGGGAUUAAGGUUUGUUAUGGGCAACGGCGGUGUUUACACAGAUAGACUAGAACUUUGAAGGUAAUAUCUGGUGACUGUGCUUUUUGGUUUUUAUACCUUUGCUACUUUAUCAUGAGGUCUAAUCUAUGUAUUAAAUAAUGUUUGCUGUCACUUAAUCAAGGAGGAAUUGAAAGAAAAGGCCAAGAUUGAAGAUGAGAAAAAGGAUGAAGAAAAAGAAGACCCCAAAGGAAUUCCUGAAUUUUGGUUAACUGUUUUUAAGAAUGUUGACUUGCUCAGUGAUAUGGUUCAGGAACACGAUGAACCUAUUCUGAAGCACUUGAAAGAUAUUAAAGUGAAGUUCUCAGAUGCUGGCCAGCCUAUGAGUUUUGUCUUAGAAUUUCACUUUGAACCCAAUGAAUAUUUUACAAAUGAAGUGCUGACAAAGACAUACAGGAUGAGGUCAGAACCAGAUGAUUCUGAUCCCUUUUCUUUUGAUGGACCAGAAAUUAUGGGUUGUACAGGGUGCCAGAUAGAUUGGAAAAAAGGAAAGAAUGUCACUUUGAAAACUAUUAAGAAGAAGCAGAAACACAAGGGACGUGGGACAGUUCGUACUGUGACUAAAACAGUUUCCAAUGACUCUUUCUUUAACUUUUUUGCCCCUCCUGAAGUUCCUGAGAGUGGAGAUCUGGAUGAUGAUGCUGAAGCUAUCCUUGCUGCAGACUUCGAAAUUGGUCACUUUUUACGUGAGCGUAUAAUCCCAAGAUCAGUGUUAUAUUUUACUGGAGAAGCUAUUGAAGAUGAUGAUGAUGAUUAUGAUGAAGAAGGUGAAGAAGCGGAUGAGGGUUAUCAGCUCUUUGAAGAAGUCAAAAGCUGCAGUAAACUUUUCCAACGUUGGCUGCAGUAACUAUUUUCAAUAAAAGCUGUCUGGAUGUCUCAAG